UGUAACUAAGUGCCAUGAGCAGGCGGUUUUC
RNAcentral lists this non-coding RNA (31 nucleotides) under Mus musculus (house mouse). The record is from RNAcentral. Lineage: Eukaryota; Metazoa; Chordata; Mammalia; Rodentia; Muridae.